GAUGAACGCUGACAGAAUGCUUAACACAUGCAAGUCCACUUGAACUUCGGUUUGGGUGGCGGACGGGUGAGUAACGCGUAAAGAACUUGCCUCACAGAUAGGGACAACAUUUGGAAACGAAUGCUAAUACCUGAUAUUAUGAUUAUAUGGCAUCGUAUAAUUAUGAAAGCUAUAUGCGCUGUGAGAGAGCUUUGCGUCCCAUUAGCUAGUUGGAGAGGUAACGGCUCACCAAGGCGAUGAUGGGUAGCCGGCCUGAGAGGGUGAUCGGCCACAAGGGGACUGAGACAGGGCCCUUACUCCUACGGGAGGCAGCAGUGGGGAAUAUUGGACAAUGGACCAAGAGUCUGAUCCAGCAAUUCUGUGUGCACGAUGAAGUUUUUCGGAAUGUAAAGUGCUUUCAGUUGGGAAGAAAAAAAUGACGGUACCAACAGAAGAAGUGACGGCUAAAUACGUG
This 454-nucleotide ribosomal RNA is filed under the name uncultured bacterium. RNAcentral's name for it is "partial 16S ribosomal RNA". It matches the Rfam family "Bacterial small subunit ribosomal RNA", at positions 28 to 507 of the family's 1533-position model. The record is from RNAcentral.